Molecule: ribosomal RNA, 254 nt
Filed under: uncultured bacterium
Lineage: Bacteria
Description: partial 16S ribosomal RNA
Rfam family: Bacterial small subunit ribosomal RNA
Source: RNAcentral
UACGUAGGGUCCAAGCGUUAUCCGGAAUCAUUGGGCGUAAAGCGUGCGUAGGCGGAUGUUUAAGUGCAAUGCGAAAUCCUGUGGCUCAACCAUAUGGACUGUAUUGCAUACUGGAUAUCUGGAGGAAUGCAGAGGCAAGUGGAAUUACCGGUGUAGCAGUGAAAUGCGUAGAGAUCGGUAGGAACACCAAUGGCGAAGGCAGCUUGCUGGGCAUUUUCUGACGCUAAGGCACGAAAGCGUGGGGAGCGAACAGG